GACGAACGCUGGCGGCGUGCCUAAUACAUGCAAGUAGAACGCACAGUUUAUAACGUAGCUUGCUACACCAUAGACUGUGAGUUGCGAACGGGUGAGUAACGCGUAGGUAACCUGCCUGGUAGCGGGGGAUAACUAUUGGAAACGAUAGCUAAUACCGCACCAUAUUAUUUAUUCCAUGAUACUUAAUUGAAAGCUGCAAUUGCACAACUACCAGAUGGUCCUGCGUUGUAAUAGCUAGUAGGUGAGGUAACGGCCCACCCAGGCGACGGUACAUAGCCGACCUGGGAGGGUGAUCGGCCACACUGGGACUGAGGCACGGCCCAGGCUCCUACGGGGGGCAGCAGUAGGGAAACUUCGGCAAUGGACGGAAGUCUGGCCGAGCAACGCCGCGGGAGUGAAGGAGGUUUUCGGAGCGUAAAGCUCUGUUUGAAGAGAAGAACGGGUGGGAGGGUGGAAAGUUCACGCUGUGACGGUAUCUUACCAAAAAGCGACGGCUAACUACGUG
Molecule: ribosomal RNA, 505 nt
Filed under: uncultured bacterium
Lineage: Bacteria
Description: partial 16S ribosomal RNA
Rfam family: Bacterial small subunit ribosomal RNA
Source: RNAcentral